GCCUUCGUGGUAUAGUGGUCAGCACACUGAGCCGGUAUUUCAGAGGUCCGUGGUUCGAUCCCCGGCGAAGGCA
This 73-nucleotide transfer RNA is filed under the name Stegodyphus mimosarum. It matches the Rfam family "tRNA". From Rfam's summary of the family: Transfer RNA (tRNA) molecules are approximately 80 nucleotides in length. Lineage: Eukaryota; Metazoa; Arthropoda; Arachnida; Araneae; Eresidae. The record is from Rfam by way of RNAcentral.